Molecule: long non-coding RNA, 981 nt
Organism: Lolium rigidum
Lineage: Eukaryota; Viridiplantae; Streptophyta; Magnoliopsida; Poales; Poaceae
Exons: 4
Source: RefSeq, a predicted model, not a curated record
UCUGAUAGUGGAUAUCAAUAAUAUUUUUUUAACAUGUGCAAAGGCAAUAAAUACUUGGUGCGCCAUCAACUUAUAUAAAAUCUGCUCAUAGCAUUAUCCAGCAUUCAAACGAAAACCGCUAAGGUCUUUUACAAGAGUAGACUAUAAAUCCACAAACUGGGAGUGUUCAAAAUACCGAAACAACAACUUUUCAAAGAAAAAAAUCUGACCCAAGCAUUUUGACUAAAUCUUUAACAUGUUGUGGGAUGUUGGCUUCACACUCGUUGUCCAUGUAGGACAGCAUGUGUAUCACCGCUUUGUUCCGCAGAGUGUAACCAACCUACACAUGAAUUAUAUGUCAAUACUGCCCAAGAGUUCAAAUUUACAGUUCAUAAUAUGUUAGCACCAAAAUUUAGUACCCACCUUGACAUUUGCUGGGACUUCUUGGCCAUUCCACCACCGCAUAUAUGAUAGCACCAAAAAUCCUGACAUGAGGCUAUAGAGAAAGCAUACAUUAUUGUUAGCGAAAUUGUAGACAAGAUCUUGAAAAUCAGUAAUAACUACAUGGAUUCUAACCUGUCAUUGUUGAUUGGCAACCCACAUGGUGUGAUGCGACGCCAAAGAAAAACGUCAUCUUUCCAGCCUUUGAUUGCAUCUCCAAGAGCAAUGUUCAGGUCCGACUUUUGAUGUCCCUUGAAACUUGUUUGAAGAAUGGGCAGUGGUGUCGAUGUGUUCACUGCUCUUUCUGGUGCUGUUGGAGCUCUAUAUGGUACACUGCAUGGUGGCGCAAAUAAGAGAUUCAAUACAGUAGAGCAUUGGACGCUUGGUAGCACCCCAGAGCAAGUGGUAAGGGUGAAUACAUGUACGAGUAUAGAGUAUGGACCUGGAAUCAUUUUGCUCGGACGGGUAGAAGCCUUAUACAUAUGGUUAGUGAAGUUUGAUGUUAAGUGCAGUUUAGCGACUUCAUUGCUUUUUAGUAUUUAGUACUACAUGGUUACCGAA